Long non-coding RNA from Halichondria panicea, 2227 nucleotides. RefSeq lists it as uncharacterized. The record is from RefSeq and is a predicted model, not a curated record. Lineage: Eukaryota; Metazoa; Porifera; Demospongiae; Suberitida; Halichondriidae. The transcript has 2 exons.
UCUCUAUGGGAGCUGACCGCAGACCGAUUGCGCAACGUCUGUCUGCACAUGCGCAAGAAUUACAGAGAUCCCAUUGGCUGUACUAUACUCUCUUGUGGUGAGUGAGGAGCUCCGAGGAGACUCUGACGUCAAUGGCCUGGAAUAUUCUCAGAUCCAGUUUCAGAAACUCAGUUCCUUUGAAAUUUGAAGGAGAAGCAAAGUGUCUUGCUGGAAGAGGAGCAGCGCAAACUUUCCUUAUUCAGCAGUGCAGUGCAGUGCGCGCAGGUUGCAGAAUCAUUGCAUUGUGAGUUGCAACCUUGCUCUGUAUGUUUACGCUUGUGUGUAUGUAGCUAACUACACAGAGUUGUUGCAGCUUUUGUCAUAGAUCAUUCAGUCGGUGGAGCGUUGGAGGGCGAAUAAUAUAAGUUUGGUUUUAUAGGGUGGCCACUUUAGUGACUGUGAGAGAAGUAGUUGAUGCAGUUGAAUAGAUACAUACUUGCCAGCACAACGCAUGUACAGUUAGCUAGCUAGAUAUACGCAUGCCUGUAAAGAUCGUGUAUACGCAUGGCUAAGAGUCUAUUAUUCUGCAUGACCUUGAACCCUUUGAGGGAGGGGGGAUGGUGUCCGUAGCACUGGAGUAAUCAAUCAGAAUGUGUGUGGAAGGUUCUUCAACAGUUGGGUCACAGGACAGCAUCUUUUUGUUCUUGGAACCGUUGUCGAACCAGCCUUCGGGGUGCAAUGAUGGAUUACUCAUGGCAUUCCAGUCUACCGGAGGGAGCACUUUGCUGUUAGUACCUGCCUAAUGGGAAAGCAGCACAGGGUAUGUUCCCCCGGGAGCAUAUCCUGCCAUAGUAGGGAGUGUUGAGAUCUCGUUAUCAGUUCCAAUAGUUAGUUAGCUAGGAUCAUUAGCUAGACAACUGCUGCUUCUUGGCUUAUGCUAAUUUAUUGUGAUGGCUUUUUUAGGAUCUUAACUCUGUGCCUACUGCACAUAGAAUUGGUAAGUUCAGGCUUUAACUAAACCCUAGGUGUGCCAAGGGAACUGUAGCCUUUGACUGGAUUAGUGAAGAGUAGUCUUGAGCACUUGUGCAAGCCUUGCGUGCCAGGCUUGUUGCAACUGGAGUCGGCGAGGGCUUCAAGAGCAAAGAGGUGUUGUCUCUGUGAGUCUACUGUUGUUGAACCAUCCCACACAUUCUGGUUGAUUACUUCUGUGCUCAGUUAAUGGUACUCACAGUCACAGGGUCCCUUUAGUUUAUUAUGCCCUUAUUGUAUUAGUCCCUUGGGCAAGGAAACUACUGGUGGUGGUGUUGCAAUGGUUGUCAAAGUGAUUAGCUGGUUUGAAUGGUUUGGUUUGGUUCGUUUUUGUCUCGGCAUUGUCUUUCUCAUUAUUAUAAUUCGAUUAUUGUCAGUUGUGUUUGGUGCUGCAAUGGUUGUUGAUAUGAUUGGCUGGUUUAACAUUGGGUUUUGUUUUGUCUUCAGCAAUGUGUCAUUUGAACACCCACCCACACAGUGACUUCUCUCCACACACACACACACACUGACCUCUCUUAUAAUUCAUUCAUCUUUGUCUUUCUCUUUAUAGGAAUGUGGUAUUAUUUUCAAUGUUUCACCUAAUUAUUUCUCUCUCCACAGCACGCACACGUAGAGGCAGGAUGGAGGUGUGGACUGCUCCAAGAUUUCCGAGUGGUUUUGCAUGAAAUAAUAAUUUAUGAAUAAUUAGCAUUGGUCCUCUCAGGUGUCAUGUGAUCCAUGGGAAAGGUGUCCUACUAUCUACAGAGACAUCAACAGUUUGAUAAAGUGUAGAUGGUGUGAAGUUUUAAUUUAUUACAUUUUACAGGUGCUGUGCUGAACAAGAGCUCUUUAUAAGUUUCAUUACUUGUAGCACUUACGUUACCAUUAAUAUUGAUCUCAUCCACACACACACGCAGACAGAGUUCAGAGAUUUGAAAGUGGUUUGUAUGAAAUAUCUUUAAUAUCAUUGGUGCUCACUCAGGUUUCAUGAGAUGUGUGAUCUAAGGAUCAGUGAUGUUGGUACGUUAGUGCUAGUGGGUUGGUGCACUCGUGAUUGUUUCUGUUCCACAGGUGUUGGAUGUGCUGCACCAACACCCACACAACAGCUCCCUUGGUUUAAUUUUCGUUAUUAUAUUUUGUAAAACAAUGCUUUCAAUAAUUAUAAUUAUUCAAUGGUCUAAUGUUGUAGAUCUAAUUGACUUGUUAAGAUGACAUGUAAAACAGUUUUUAACGUUCAAAA